This 471-nucleotide ribosomal RNA is filed under the name uncultured organism. Its description in RNAcentral is "partial 16S ribosomal RNA". It matches the Rfam family "Bacterial small subunit ribosomal RNA", at positions 335 to 797 of the family's 1533-position model. The record is from RNAcentral.
ACUCCUGCGGGAGGCAGCAGUGGGGAAUUUUGGACAAUGGGCGAAAGCCUGAUCCAGCAAUGCCGCGUGAGUGAAGAAGGCCUUCGGGUUGUAAAGCUCUUUUGUCAGGGAAGAAACGGUGAAAGCUAAUAUCUUUUGCUAAUGACGGUACCUGAAGAAUAAGCACCGGCUAACUACGUGCCAGCAGCCGCGGUAAUACGUAGGGUGCAAGCGUUAAUCGGAAUUACUGGGCGUAAAGCGUGCGCAGGCGGUUUUGUAAGUCUGAUGUGAAAUCCCCGGGCUCAACCUGGGAAUUGCAUUGGAGACUGCAAGGCUAGAAUCUGGCAGAGGGGGGUAGAAUUCCACGUGUAGCAGUGAAAUGCGUAGAUAUGUGGAGGAACACCGAUGGCGAAGGCAGCCCCCUGGGUCAAGAUUGACGCUCAUGCACGAAAGCGUGGGGAGCAAACAGGAUGAGAUACCCCAGUAGUCCCA